Molecule: ribosomal RNA, 529 nt
Filed under: uncultured bacterium
Lineage: Bacteria
Description: bacterial SSU rRNA
Rfam family: Bacterial small subunit ribosomal RNA
Source: RNAcentral
UGGGGAAUCUUGGACAAUGGGGGCAACCCUGAUCCAGCCAUGCCGCGUGAGUGAUGAAGGCCUUAGGGUCGUAAAGCUCUUUCGCCUGUGAAGAUAAUGACGGUAGCAGGUAAAGAAACCCCGGCUAACUCCGUGCCAGCAGCCGCGGUAAUACGGAGGGGGUUAGCGUUGUUCGGAAUUACUGGGCGUAAAGCGCACGUAGGCGGACCAGAAAGUUGGGGGUGAAAUCCCGGGGGCUCAACCCCGGAACUGCCUCCAAAACUAUUGGUCUAGAGUUCGAGAGAGGUGAGUGGAAUUCCAAGUGUAGAGGUGAAAUUCGUAGAUAUUUGGAGGAACACCAGUGGCGAAGGCGGCUCACUGGCUCGAUACUGACGCUGAGGUGCGAAAGUGUGGGGAGCAAACAGGAUUAGAUACCCUGGUAGUCCACACCGUAAAACGAUGAAUGCCAGUCGUCGGAUAGCAUGCUAUUCGGUGACACACCUAACGGAUUAAGCAUUCCGCCUGGGGAGUACGGUCGCAAGAUUAAAAC